UGCACAUAGGGGAAAAAAAGUUUCUAUAAGUAAAUGAAACAAGAAAAAAAAAAAAAAAAGACAAACUAAGAAUCAUCAUCAUGAUGUCACCCUCAUUAUUGAAAAGAAUAUGAAUAGGAAAUCACCUGUAAGCACCAUUUUAUCCAUUGGAGCACCUGUAAAAGAUAGUAAACUUAUUAGCUUUUUGUAUUCUUUUAAUUAGUAAAAUCAUAAUAGAUUACAUGACGUUGUAACAUGAGUAUAGUUAUUUUUGGUGUAUUUGGAUUUCAACCUUGGCCUUUGCAGUCCUUUCUACAGGUUCGAUUGUUUUAGCUAAGCCUAAUUGUUGUAGCUAGCUUGUAAUGAAUAAAUAAUAUUGCAUGUUCAGAUCCAUUACUAUAGUAGUUAAUUUGGUUCACAUCCAUAAGGGUUCAAUCCAAUUUUAUGGUACAAACAGAGAAUACUAUAGAAAAUUUCAUGUGCAUAUUAACAUCAUAGUAGGAGAUAAGAAAGGGCUUGCAAGGUGAAAAUGAUGAAGAAGCGGGAUUUAGUACCUUUUGCUGGUUUAUCAAUGCAUUCGAUUUCAGGUUCCCUGCUAUUAUUCUUCUUCCGUUGGCACUUGUUUCCUUUUGCUUCACAGUUUCCGCACAUAGGUUUUGACCAAUUCAUAUAAAAUUCCCUUUCAUGAUAAACCAUAUAAUUAUAUGUAUAAUAUUCUGGGAGUGUAGCAUUGAAAAUCUUCCGGCAAGAGGAUAAGUUCACUUCAGCGAGAGAGUAAGAGGAAGGAGCGACAUAAACUGGGUUACUUGAGAGAAUACUGCAAGGGAUGGACCAAAGUUGAUUAUCAGCAUAUGAUAGCUGAUUUGUUAUAUCUUCAGAACAAUUGAAGAAGGAGAAGUUGCUGUAUGUGUACUCAUCUUUGAACUGGAAGGGAAAGGCAGAUAAAUUAAAGUUUAGAAUCUGCCAUUGAAGGUAAUCACGCGGGUACCAGAGAACAAUCUCCUGAGAAGUGUAAUUUAUUUCCUUCACCCAGAGCUUUCCUGAAGAGGGCAGCUCUAGUAUGGUCCGCUUCUCUUCUGAGCAUGAUAGCUCAAACUCCGGAUAUCCACAGUGUUCUGGCUGGUGUUUUAGCCGGAACGGAAACCGGAUGACUGGACCAUGGUGACUGCACCUUGACGCCUUGCACUCAUCAUCUCGGCUUCCUCCAUUAAUCUCUGCAAACAAUCUCAUAAACAAGAAGAAGAAGAAUAAAGAGAUGCCCAUUUUUAAGCAACUGCUUAUCUCUAUAGUUUUAAUUUGCACUGCUUCUCCCCUACUUUAUAUAUAUAAUUAGAUUUGAAAAUUUUGUACAAAGGGAGAAGAACUUUGUUUGUUUAGGAAGCAGGUGCUUUUAGGGAAUACAAAAAAGAUGGAGGACUGCUACAAUAAAAAUUUAGUUUUAUCUCAGAAUAUAAAAUUUACUUGAAAAAAUUGUAGAAAAUUGGUCUAUCAGUAUUUACUAACAUGCCGUAUGAGUAAAGAAAGAUGAUAAAGAUGAUCCUUCUUUAUCCUUUUCCCAUUGUUGAGACCUAAAAAUUAGGUAAUAUUUAAAACAUAAACAAUUCCAAUAUAAACCAUAAUAACUUCAAGCAUCAUUUUUAACAUAGUGAUUCUAAAUAAUGGGAAGCUCACAGUUGGCUGGAUGUGAUGGGAUGAAAGUGUGGUCCCAGUUGAAAAAUCAAACAGUUUGGGGAAGAAUAACAUGUUGAAGAAAGCUGCAAUUAAAACAGAGUAUCUCUCUCUCUGUGGAACUCACAACCCAAAAACAGAGCAUCUCUCUCUCUCUCUCUCUCUCUCUAAAAUUUGAUAAUGUUAAGGGAGGCACAACUCGUGGGAGUAGGCCUCAUGACAGUAGUCAUCCAUGCCUGCUUCCUUUCAGUUUGUGUUGCUAAGCAUCACAAGUACCAGAUAUGCAGCCCCUCUUCCUGCGGAGAUAUGAGGAACAUUUCCUACCCUUUUCGAUUACAAGACGAUCCCCGCAGCUGCGGUUACCCUGAGUAUGAAUUGAUUUGUGAAAACAAUCGUACUAUGAUAAACCUUCAUGGUGGGACAUACUUAGUUACCCAGAUCAACUACCAGAAUUAUACAAUUCGGGUAGUGGAUCCUCGGCGAAAGAAGGACAACUGUUGGAUCUCCAGUCCUCUUAAUUCCAUUGGUGCAUAUUACAAAGAAAAUCCAUAUGAUUCGUCUUCUGCAUGGAGUGCUGGUUAUACUCUGCCUUAUAAAUGGAAUCCUGCUUCUCCUUAUCCUUCUGAACCAAUAUUCUAUACAAUAGUUUUGAUGAACUGUGAGCAGUCAAUCAGGGACGACAACUACCUUCAUAUAAUUCCAUGCAACACUAGAGGCUCUUCCUCUUCCUCACCAACAUACGCUUAUGCAGUUGUCGGAGACUAUGUGUCGGUGGGAGAUAUUCCGUAUUCAUGCACCAUCGGCACAUCUAUUAUUAUUCAACCGUUGAAGUCACUUCCAGAGCCCAGCAAUCUUUCGAUGUCAGAUUUGCAAAAUUAUAUGCUUCUGGGGCUUCAGCUUUCAUUUUUGCCUCUCUUCUGCCACCGCCAAUGCGAAAUGAUAGGGCAAGAUUGCUACGAUAUAAAUUUCACUGGGAACGUCGGCUUUGAAUGCAAGUCAUGGGCCGACCUUACUGGCAACACUCCAGAGAAAAAUGGUGAGUAUAAGAUGCCCUCAUACUUGAUCUUUGGAGUUGGGGUUACAGUGCCUGCAAUCAAGGAAACGCGAUUUUAUAGGAAAUUAAUUCCCUGAAAAUCUGAUUAUGCCUAACCAUCUUAUCUUCCUUGCAUUAGUCUUCAAUAUUUCCAUCCCUAAUUUCACUUGUUUGGUUUAAUCUUGCAGGGCUUUGGACAGGGCUUUGGAAGUUUAUAAGAAUUUAUUUAUUGCUACCCUUCUUUAGUAAGGCUUCAACUAAAAUUUUCUUUGAAAUCAAAUCUUUAUUUUAUUCAUUUUUCCUAUUUUUUUUACAAAAUUUCCUAAUUCAUUGUUAACAGGGGGGUUACUUUCUCCCUACACCUUAAAAUUUGGAGGUAAGGAUGCUUCUUGCAAUUAUUAUUUUCUCAUGAGAAUAAGACAAAAGAUUUAUUUAGAGUUCUUUCAUCUUAAUUAAUCUCUCCAUUUCUUGCUUCUCAAUAAAUUUAAAAUUUAGGCAAUCAAGGGCAUUCUUCCUUGUGACUAACAUGGCACGAAUGGUUUAAUAUAGGACUUCAAGAAGAACUUAGUAAAUGCGAAUUUUACUAUCCCUGCAACACCUCGAUGAUUGGUAAGACUUUCUUCACUUACAUGUCUCCUCUUCUAAUGUUAUUUAUGUCUCUCACUUAUAUUGGUCCAUAUUUUUAAUUUGUUACAUCUCUUCCUUACUAGGCGGCUGGAUACUGCGUAUUAUUGGUAAGCCUCCUAAAUUCCAACUACUAAGUUUUUGUAAAAACAAUAUUGUAAAGAGUUGAUAUGAAAAUUCUUGGAAUUCUUGCAUUUUGAAGGUUGUGCAGUGAACUUCAAAUUGAUUUUGCUUUGUUUGACUGUACAAAGCAAAAUCAAUUUAGAUGUAAUUCAAAAUUUUCUCCCAAAUUUAAAUGUAAUUCAACUCCACUAACAUAUAAAGAAGUCAAAACAAUGAAAUUGAAAUUGGGGUCUUCUUAUCCAAGGCCCCAGUACUUCCAUCAAAUUGCUCCCCAAGCAACAGUACUCUGUAAAGUGAUUGUUAAAGUAGCUAUUUUAUAUGGCUCUCUAACAACACAACAACUUAGUGUUUUACUUUAUAUGAAGGUAGAAUAGUUUUUUCUACCAUAUGUAUUUGUUGGAUUUAACUUUGUUUUUGAUAUCUUGUUCCUUUUUCUUAAAAUAAUCAUUUUUUUUUACAUUUGAUUUGUGUUUAGUCAUAGGAAGGACUAUGCUCGGGAUGUUGUGUCUAUUCGCCUAUUUGAUUUACAAGUUCCACCGGAGACAUCUAUCAUUAGAUGAUAGCAUUGAAGAAUUCUUACGGAGUCAAAAAAAUCUCCAACCCAUCAAGUACUCGUAUUCAGACAUAAAGAAGAUGACUCAUAACUUUGCGAAUAAAUUAGGUCAAGGAGGUUUUGGCUCUGUAUAUAAAGGAAAACUUCGAAGUGGUCGCAUUGUAGCUGUGAAAGUGCUGGUCAUGUCAAAAGCUAAUGGACAAGAUUUCAUCAAUGAGGUUGCAACAAUAGGAAGAAUUCACCAUGUUAAUGUGGUGAGACUUGUAGGAUUUUGUGUACAAGGAUCAAAAUGGGCACUUAUAUAUGACUUCAUGCCUAAUGGUUCUCUUGAUAAGUUUAUUUUUCUUAAAGAAGAAAAUAACACUUUUUUAAGCUGGGAAAGGUUGUAUAAGGUUGCACUUGGAGUGGGGCGUGGGAUUGAAUACUUNNNNNNNNNNNNNNNNNNNNNNNNNNNNNNNNNNNNNNNNNNNNNNNNNNNNNNNNNNNNNNNNNNNNNNNNNNNNNNNNNNNNNNNNNNNNNNNNNNNNGGGCGUGGGAUUGAAUACUUACAUCAAGGCUGUGACAUGCAAAUUCUACAUUUUGAUAUCAAGCCACACAAUAUUCUUCUUGAUGAAGACUUUACACCAAAAGUUUCAGAUUUUGGCCUUGCAAAAUUGUAUUCAACAGAUGAAAGUAUGGUGUCUCUCACUGCUGCACGAGGAACAUUGGGAUAUAUUGCUCCAGAAUUGUUCUAUAAAAAUAUUGGAGGUGUCUCAUACAAAGCUGAUGUUUAUAGUUUUGGAAUGUUGUUAAUGGAGAUGGUGGGGAGAAGAAAGAAUGUGAAUGCAAAUGCAGCGCACUCGAGUCAAAUAUAUUUUCCAUCAUGGAUUUAUGAUAGAUAUGAUCAAGGAGAUAACAUAGACUUGGGAGAUGCCACUGAAGAUGAAAAGAAGCUUGUUAGGAAAAUGGUGAUAGUUGCACUAUGGUGUAUACAGAUGAAGCCCAUAGAUCGUCCUUCAAUGAGCAAAGCUUUAGAGAUGUUGGAAGGAGAGGUUGAGCUAUUAGAAAUGCCUCCGAAGCCUACUCUAUACUCUGAGGAAAUGUUAGUUGAGGAUCAUAUGAGCAAUCCAAUAGAAGCACCAAUUUCCUUGUGCAAUUCCAUGGGUACAAUUACAUUAGAUGGAAGGUAGCAUAGCAUUUUUCCACUUGCAUGCUAUCUCCUAUGAUAUCAUAUGUUUGUAAUUUGGAUUAAAUGUAUGGGUUAUAACUCCUCUUGCAAGGUCCAUAUAAUGUAAUAUUGUCUUGAGGCAUUGGCAUGGUACCCUAGCAAGGUACCCUAGCAACAAGCAUAUAAACAUGUAAUAAUUAUUACCUAUGUUCUAAAUGAUUCAAAUAGCACCAAACGGGAAUAUCAAUUAAUGUUUUAAGGCCUAGUUCCAUAGUACUCAAAUGAUUAUUGUUGUAUUGCAUAGCCUCACAUGACUUAAAUAACACCAAAUAUAUAUAAUAGAAAACAAAGUAAACUAACUCUAAAUAGAAAGAAAAGCAAUAAGAUUAAUAAAGAUAAAAGAAAGGACAUAAUAUUUAUGAUGUACCAUAAGAGUGUCUUAUCUAUGUCCUUGGGAAAUAGCAAUCAAUUCAUUAACUUUUAAAUUAGAAAAUUACAAAAUUGGAAGAAUAUCGAACUAGGAGGCUCUUACUUGGCAAAGAGCUUUCUUUAUACUAAUAUUGGCUAAAGCCACUAAGAUAGCUAAAAGGACAUGGGCUUAUAUAUAAGCCUCCAAGCAUUGACCAAACCAAUUCAUAAUCCAUGUGGGACAAGGAAUCCCUAAACUAACGAAUACUAAUUACACCAAAAACCAACAAAUCUCAACCUUGGAAAAUUAAUACUCCACUACCAACUCCCAAAAUUCAAAUAUUCUCUAACAAAUGAACUUCAAAUGCAUCUCUAGAAACCAUAUACCCAAAAUUUUCAAACUAGUAUGAUAUUAACCAAGCCCAAAUAGUAAGAGGGAGCACUACAGGAAUAAUGCCUUAUAGCAGCGGCUAGUGACCCUCACUAGAGGUCAGAAAUAAUGUGCCUGCAAAUUAUGGUUGCACACCAAGUUGACCGCUACAUGGUGUAGCCAUAGGUGGUGCAACAAUUUCUUAUAGCUGCAGUUGUGAAAGUGACCAUAAACACAAGUUAAAGUAAUAGUAGCAACCAUAGUAAAGUGCAGCAAAUGGUUCUUACAACUGCAUCUUGUUUUUGGCCCCCGCUAAAUGGCAUAUAGUUGCAUUUUGGAGUUGGCCACAGCUAUAAGUUAUCAUUAUUCAUUUUUUGUGACGCUCGUUUGUGAGGCUCCCCAUUAAAUCCUUCAAAACACUAUAAAAAUGGUGUGGAUCAGAAACAUUUUUCUUCUAAGAAUUUGAGUAAGCAUAAUCUUUCUUUUGAUAUUACAUGCAAUUUCAUGUUGCAAUAGUAGCUUGACCUUAUCCCAACCACCUCAUAACUGAAUGACAAUUUUUUCUGGAUCUCUUUCAACACCAAUAGCAAGUUUAGAUUGGGUAAACAGAAAAAAAAAGGGCUAACCCCUUCAAGAUUGACACAAAAGCUUCGCGGUAAUAUUCCAAAAUUUGGAGAAAUACAAAACUCAUAGGUCAACAAAAAUCCUUCUCCUAAACAUGAUAUCUAUUAUAAACCUUUUUUCCAGUAAAAAAAUAAUAGAAUCAUAUAAUGGAUAUAUACAGAUGGUGAAUCCCAAUUAGCAUCUACAAAACAAACUUGUAGGAACACAACAGAGAUUUUUUAGAUCAAUAUAUUGAGAAAAUGACUUGACACUAAAAAAAAAAGGCUAAGAAGCUCUGAGAUUUGAUGUUUUGUUAACAGAGAUCCAUGAGGACAUAGAACAACAUAUUUAAAUAGUUAUUUUUUCUAUGAAUAAGAAAAAAAAUUACAUGAGUAACACCACACCAAUGCUUAUUUGAAUAAAGUGUCAUUCAUGGACAAAAACUAAAGAAACCAAUUGGGACUAGGGGGCAAGGCCAUGAUAUUAUCAAUUACGUUACACUAGGCAGGUUAUAAUUACCAUUGAGUGUAGAAUGAUAUAUUCACUUCUCAGCAACUCCAAUAUCUGAUAGUAUCAUAUUACCCUACAGGCAGAAUACAAACAACGAAUGAAAUGUGAGUUGCAACAAUCAGGCAAUCAAAAUCACAUUUUGAACAAUAUAGGAACCCAACAUCCAAACAAAAUAGUAUCAACAAGAAACUGCUAUUUCUUUCAUGAUACAAGGAAUUUUUGCCUCCAUAAAUUAAUUACUUCAUACGGAGUAAAAUUUAAGGGUACAACAGACACCACCGCCUCAUAAUUCAAGAACCAAACCAUCAAGAAGGCUAUGUUGAAAUCUAAUCACCACAUCCAAAUAGGUAUUUCUCUGGUCUCAACAAGUGACACAAGGAAAUUUUUGUAUCUAGUGAAUACCUUUGCCUACAUCUAGUACAAGGUUAUGUUUUUAUCUUGUAAACAUAUAUAUACAUCCAAACAUGUAUACACACACACGUGUAUGCACUCUGAAGUUCCCUAGAAAUUAUAAGUAGGUUUUGUAGGUACAUGGCUAUGACCAAUUCUUGUCCUAGCUUGUAGAUCUAGGUUAGCCCAAGGGUGUACCUUUUCCAAAUUUUCUCUUUAUGAUGUUGCUUUAUCCCUCUAGGUAUAUAUUGUUAAUGGCCACAACCUCAGCAAUCUUUUUCAUGUUUCCAUGCAUGGAUCAGUUUAAAAAGGAAAAACACAUGAUUUCCAGAGUUUGAACUUCCAUUAUUUUACUAUAGGUACAAGGUUAACAUUUUUUGUAUUCAUGCCCCAGUUUAGUCAUUUUCAUAUUGACAUGUGUUAAUGGUGUUUUCUUACAUUCUUAUUGAUGAAAUCCUCCCUUUCCAAGACCACAAUUCAUUCUAAGUUUAUCAAAAGACAUCAAGGCAUCAUAGAAAAUCAACAAUUCUAAUAUUGUAACAUCUCCAACAUUUGUAGAAAACACAAGAUUCCAUAUUUAAUCUCUAGAUUGUAAAUUAAGGUUCAAAACUCAAAAGCACAUUCAUAUAUACACAAACCUCACUAGCCAUAAGCUUUCGAACAUUAUUAGCAUAUAAUUUUCCCAUACAUUACAAAUGAGCUUAAUUUGAGAGUUAUACCUUGGCAAUGAGAGAACCUGCUUUGGGCAACAAUUCAAAUCAUGACAGAAUUUUUUGGUCUCCAUCUCAUCCUUGUAGCAACAUGUACCUUACUCAUGUCAUUCCUCUUGUGUGGAGCUACCAUUAUCUUACCAAUAACAUGCAAAGUAGACAACAAGACUGAACAAGAAAUUAAAAUUCCUGAAGUUUAGAAUCCUAUACUGUAAGGAGAAUGGAACUAUGAGUGUCCAAGUGUGGUUGCUUGUCAAGAGUUGAAAAUUUGGAUGAUUAUUUGGAGGUUCUAUUCAAAUUGUUGGGCAGAAUGAUUAGAGAAUGAAAAAUGAUUAAGAAAUUUGGACAACAAUAGAGCAAGUAAGAAAAAUUCAGAUCUGAAAUGAAGCAUGAAAUAGACUAAGAAUGAUAAUUAGUUCAUUUGUAGCCCUUGUAAGAAGAUAACUAAGUCUCCAAGUGUAUUAUUACUUUCCUUGUUCAAAAUGGUACACGAGAACUUGUUUCCCCAAAUCCAAAGCACAAUCUUCUUAGGUGUAAGUGGAUUUUUCACAUUAAGCAUUUACCUGAUGGUUCUGUUGACAAGUACAAAGCUCAUCUUGUCACUAAAAGAUUUCAGCAAUGACCGGGCAUUGAUUGUCAUGAUGUUUUCAGUCCUGUUGUCAAACCCACCAUUAUACAUCUUGUUCUUAGUAUUACAAUCAGCCAUGCUUGGUUUCUAUACUAACUUGAUGUUAAUAAUGCUUUUCUUCAAGGCCACUUGUUUGAAGAUGUUUUCAUGGCUUAACCAUUGGGAUUCAUUGAUUGUGAUCAUCCUAAUUAUGUGUGCAAACUUUAAAAAGCUAUCUAUGGUCUCAAGCAAGCACUACAUGCUUAGUAUCAUGAGCUCCACUAGUUUCUUCUCACCUCUAGCUUCACUAACUCUCAUACUUACACUUGACUAUUUGUCCUCAACACUAGUGGUGUCAUGGUUUAUCUCCUUGUUUAUGUUGAUAAUGUUAUCAUAACAAGUGACAGUGAUGGUGUUGUGUAAAAGUUCAUCCUAAUCUUGCCCAACAAUUCUCCCUUAAGGAUCUCGAGUCUCUUUCUUAUUUUCUUAGCAUUAAAGUCACACACCAUCGUCAUGGAUUAUUUCUUUCUCAACAUCAAUAUAUUGGCGAUCUCUUAGCUCACACUCACAUGUCAAAUGCUAAACCAAGCGCCACACCACUUACUACAUCUCCAACUCUUGAACUCUAUACCGGUACCGCCCUCUCUAAUCCAACAGAGUAUCAUACUAUUAUUGGCAAUAUUCAGUAUAUUUCUCACUCGACCUUAAAUCGCUUUUACAAUGAGUAAACCCUCACAAUUUAUGCAUCACCCUACUAGUGCUUAUUAAACUAUUGUCAGACACCUUUUUUGGUACCUUUGUGGCACAUAUGAUCAUGGUUUGGUUCUUUAUCGCAACUCUCCUUUUCUUUUCAUGCUAAAGAUAAUUUUACUUCUAUAAGUGCUUACAUCGUUUACAUUGGUCAUAAUCCUAUCUCAUGGAGUUCUAAGAAGUAAAGAAUUGUUGCACACUCUUCUAUUAAAGUGGAAUAUCGUUUUGUUGCAUAUACAUCUACAGAAUUACAUUGGGUAUGUUCACUUCUUAUUGAACUUAGUGCUUAUGUUCUACAAGUGUCUAUGAUCUAUUGCAAUAAUGUUGAUACUAUUCAUCUCAACUCCAAUACGAUCUUUCAUUCCUGCAUGAAACAUAUUGAAUUGGAUUAUCACUUUAUUCAUGAACAAGUUCAAAGUGAUGCUCUCUGUGUGGCUCAUGUUACUCNAAGAUCAGUUAGUUGAUGCUCUCACNAGCCUCUUCNNNNNNNNNNNNNNNNNNNNNNNNNNNNNNNNNNNNNNNNNNNNNNNNNNNNNNNNNNNNNNNNNNNNNNNNNNNNNNNNNNNNNNNNNNNNNNNNNNNNACACCACUUACUACAUCUCCAACUCUUGAACUCUAUACCGGUACCGCCCUCUCUAAUCCAACAGAGUAUCAUACUAUUAUUGGCAAUAUUCAGUAUAUUUCUCACUCGACCUUAAAUCGCUUUUACAAUGAGUAAACCCUCACAAUUUAUGCAUCACCCUACUAGUGCUUAUUAAACUAUUGUCAGACACCUUUUUUGGUACCUUUGUGGCACAUAUGAUCAUGGUUUGGUUCUUUAUCGCAACUCUCCUUUUCUUUUCAUGCUAAAGAUAAUUUUACUUCUAUAAGUGCUUACAUCGUUUACAUUGGUCAUAAUCCUAUCUCAUGGAGUUCUAAGAAGUAAAGAAUUGUUGCACACUCUUCUAUUAAAGUGGAAUAUCGUUUUGUUGCAUAUACAUCUACAGAAUUACAUUGGGUAUGUUCACUUCUUAUUGAACUUAGUGCUUAUGUUCUACAAGUGUCUAUGAUCUAUUGCAAUAAUGUUGAUACUAUUCAUCUCAACUCCAAUAUGAUCUUUCAUUCCUGCAUGAAACAUAUUGAAUUGGAUUAUCACUUUAUUCAUGAACAAGUUCAAAGUGAUGCUCUCUGUGUGGCUCAUGUUUACUCCAAAGAUCAAUUAGUUGAUGCGCUCACCAAGCCUCUUCCACAUGCAUGAUUUCUCACUCUUCAAGCCAAGAUUCAACGCUCCUCCUAGAGCCCCAUCUUGUGGAGGCAUAAUAGAGAAACUAAAUAAUUUAAAUAUUAGUUUAUCCUUAAUUUAACUAUUAAUAUUUAUCUAUUAAUUAUUAGUUUGAAUUAGAGUAAAAUAUAAAGUUUGAAUUAGAGUAGAAGUGUACUAUUAGUUUGAAUUAGAGUAGAAGAUAGAAUUUGAAUUAUAGUAAAAUUGAAAUGUAUUUAUAUAUAAAUAUUCCACAUUAUCAAUGAGAAUGUAAGUGUGGAUCCCGCAUUUCGACUCAUGUGUUUCCCACUCGAUGGCAAACUCGAUUUAUUAUUUGAAAAAUGAUUUUUAUUGUUUUAGAAAAAUGACUUGGAGUCACCACUUAUUUUUGUUUUAUUUUAAAGGGUAAACAAAAUAAGAAAGAAAAACUCUAAGUCCGACUCCUUAUUUUGGAAAAGAUGGUCUGUGAAAAACCGGAUUGGGUUUGGGGGUCAAGUUAUUAUUCGGAAAGGUACGGUAAAGACCGUAGCACCCCUCUAAGCCCCUAAAGUCGGGUCUCUACUAAUGAGAUGAAACAAUAAUGAUAAUGGAUGAGUAAAUCAACGAAUACCCGGAAUAAAUCAUGCACACGUGGGUAUCAGAACAUGCAUAGACACUGAUCAAAGUGAAAGUGGGUACAUACUUGGGUAACGAGCCACCAUGCGCUAUCAAGAGAGAGAGUUAGUGCACAAUUAAGGAAUGAUAGCAUGCAUGUCAGGGAGCAGGAUAAAUCAAUCAUGUAUGAUAAUCAAAUCAAUCAAUCAGUCAAUCAAUUAUAAAAUUAUUUAUGUGGGCCCCCACCAAUGCUCGAUUUAUUUUAGCAUGAAUUAAUUUCAUAAAUUCCAUUAAUUGGAAUUACAAAAUUAAAAUCUUGCUUAUUUUAAAACAAGGGGGAUGUAGAAAUUGUUUGCCAGAAGGAAAGAUGACAACAAAGUUUUACUAAAAAUGGGACUCUUGGGUGAUCCUAAAAAUUCUAAGGAUGAAAUAUGGAGAAAUUGGAAUUAUUUGAAAACCUGAAAUCGAGAAAGUAUUUACCAAAACGAGGUAUAGGGAAACUGCUUUCAAAAUCAAGGGAUGAUGAACUAGGUUGAUAGCUCAUGGCAUAAGAAAAGGAAAAAAAUUGCAUGCCAAAGGUGGCCAUGCAACUGGAAGCAUGCAGUGGUGAGCUUAGGGAGGAAUGAUGCUGGCAGAGAUGUGGGCUCCAUCUCUUGAAUCUGAUCUAUCAUCUUCUCUCCUUUGUCCAUGUCACUACCACUGUCACCAAACCAUAGGCCUUCUAAUCACGUGAUGACUCCACUGUAGACUGUUUGAUGCAUUCUUAUAUAAACUCUUAAAACACCUUUUGAGCUACAAUCAAUGGAGCCUCGUCUCGGCACAUACAUUUGAGUAUUAUUUCGGGAAUCUGAGUGAUAAACCCCUAAAUUUCAGCAUCCCCUGAGUCCUUGGUUAGCAAAGCUUCCAACUCCUGUGCAGCAAUUUGGUACUUAUCCAAUGCAUCUCCAAUAUUCAACAAGGGUUUAGAGAUGCACUCCACGGAUGUUCUGUGGUAAAAGCAGCAGGCAAUGAUAGUGCAGCAACUCCCAAUCCUUUUCCAACAUUAGAGGCCUCCAUUGGAUGAACUUCAAGGGUAGGAGCCAUUGACGAAAAUGAAACAGAGUUAAGUUUAGAGCCAUGAGGAGAAACACCAUCCAUCACUCCAAUGCGUGCAGAAGGGCCACUAAGGAAUUGGGCAGAACUGGGAUCCAUAUCCUCAAGAAUUAGAUCCAAGAGCUGAGUAGCACUCGAUCCAGUGGCCCCAGUCCCAGUAGAGUAGAAGCCUAGGCUAAGCUGUCUUGAUGAUGAAGCAUAAGCACGAGACAAACCAGAACUGCCAGGAGCCACCAGAUGCAGCAUGUGAUCCAGCAGGAACUGCAUUUGAGCUCUGUCCAGAUUGAUUUUGCCAGAGAAACCAAACGAAAUCCUCAUAAACCCGCUGUUGGGAAUGGGACAAAUGACCAGGUCUGGGGUGGAGGGCGUGGGUAUGAAGGUUAGUUGGGUUACCUGUGGUGGAUACGUGUGGAAAUGAGCAAGGGAUGAUGGUAUAACUAUGGGCUCGAUGAGUAUAUGGAAUAAGAAAUGGGUAUGGUUACUUAAUUGGGUGGGUAUGAGAGAUAUAGAUGGAUGAAGGUGAUGAGCAUGACGGCGGGAUAGGAUGAAGAAGAGUGUGAGAGGAGCGACAGAUGACCAUGCACGGGAGGAUUGACGUUAAAUAGAGAACGAGUGGCGAGAGAGAGGGAGAGACACGGGUUAGUGCUCUUACUCAAGGGUGGCAUGGGUGAUGGGAGCAGGGUGUUUGGGAUGGGUAAGGUAAGUUGUAGAUGAGCCCAAGACUGAGGGAAGUGGGUCGCUGCAGCAUUUGGAGAUGGUAGUAGCCAUCCCGUGCAUGAGUUUCUAGACUCGGAUAGGUAGCGCUCAUUGCUUGCAUCCUCUUUGGGAGAUGAUAGCGAUUUCAAGGCUGACGGGAUAUCAUUGGAAGCAUCAAGAGUCUCUUUCCAUGCUCCCAACAUCUGAUUCAUUGUAUCUUUGCAUUAUGAUUUCCACAGAAACCCCAACAUGUAACAGAGACAAGACGCAGAGGUAGAGAUCCUCAUAAAUGUAUGAGUCAAACAUAGCAGGCGUUCCAGCAGCUUUCUUGUCCUGUGGGCCAUGGCAUGGCAACCUCUUCCUCAUCCACAUGCUUAUCUUGAUUAUUUAUUAUAAGUGCCAUUGAUGGCUCAGCAGAUAAGUGCAAGGUGCACCAUUUCUUGGCCAAAGGAACGCCUAUACAGAAUAUGACUACGCUCGUCCAGAAGCCGGCGUGACUUUGGGUCAUAUGGGAUUUCCUUGUUGGUCUUGGAUCGGUUUCAUUGGAGGGUGCAACCAAGGGAAUCUUUGACGGCCUGGUUAGAUUAGGACCGCUGGAUAUGGAAGUUGAGAGAUGCGUAGAGACGGACGACGAAGGGAGGAUGAGAGGGUUUAGAAAGAAUGAGAAGGGCAAAUGUGGUGGUGAAGCAAGUUACGGGCAGUGGGUAUGGAGGAUGGGAAGGUGAUAGUGAGAGAAAAGGCAUGUGGGGGGUAUGAUCAAUGGGUUUAGAAAAUGGUUGUGAAGAAAUGAUGCAGUGGAUAUGACGAAGAAAUGAAAGUGUUAGAUUCGGCAUUUCAGGUGGGCAUCUGGAUAUGGAAAUGGGGUACUGGCUCACGAUGCUAGAGGUUGGUUGUAUACCAGAGCAAGGAUUCCAAAUUGCCUCAAUGCUGCCACUGUGCACGAAACCUAGCCGGAUAGCAAACACUGUAUACGUAUAUUUUCAAUGAUGGCUCACUGCAGCAAUAAUAUCCCAAUGCCAAUUAACUCUCAUACAACGAUUUUGGCAUAUAUUAAACAGAUCCUAACGCCCGUUCUACAAUCCUUGGAACGACGUGUUACAGCAUGCAAGAGAAAUGGGAGAUCCUGGGGGAAUAAACUGGCUAGCGAAGUCCAUGGGUCAUAUUGGACUUGCACUCAAUGUGAUUCAUUAACGGGGACUGUAAGACCAUGAAUCUUAUACACCCAAUACUUAUGGUAUCAAGUCGAGCCUGUCAUCCAUGGCGUUUCGACCCUGGCAGCUUAUUCAUAAAGUUCCACACUAUCUCAAACUUCCAGCGUUGCGUCCUUGUCAUUAUGCUUCCAAAAAACGGGAUAAAGUGCACGACUGCGCUAGAUCUCAUAUACGGAAUCGUCCUCAAGCAUGACCCAUCAUCGAAACGCCUUUCAAUUAUCUGAGAAAACUUGAUUAAUAUAUUCUGCGUUACCUUCAGCAACAUUAGCAAUCACAUUCAUUGUCUAGGAGGAUAACUAGUUGCUCUUCGUGGUGAGUUCGGUGUCGUUUGAGCUUCUCCAUCACAUCAAAGGAUAGCUAGCCAAAAGGGAAAUGAUACCAUAGAUGAUGAAGGAGUGGCACAGACAGAUGAAGCAGUCAAGAGGUAUCCUUAGAAGCCCUCUGCGGAUGACAUUUUAAGGGCUUUGUGAUACUCUGAAGCAUAGAUACUCAGUUAUGACCUCCAAUCCUGAUAUAGAACACUCAAAACAGGCUCAAUCUACUCAACAUGCUCUUCGGGCACUCCAUAGAAACUAAGCACCUGUAAUCGCAGCUCCCACUCCUUGGAUUUGCGUUCUCAGAUUGGAGAUGCACCAGUCAAAACACGUCGCGAACAGACACCAAAACAGAGAAAAAAUAGAGAGGAAAAUUGAUAGAACCAAACAAAGAUGGGUGAGAUGGGAGUUGGUUAAGCAAGACCUGGUCUCAUAAUUCAUCCACAGGCUUACCAACUAGUGGGGGAAGAAAUGGAUUUAAAGAGAAAUGAUAAGAAGAAGACCUUGAGAUACCACGCGGAUAAAACUGGUCCAGAUUCACAUCAUUUCUCUCAAAAUGAACCCAGAAAAAAAUAUAUGAACAUGUAGUCAUAGCGAAUCCAAUGAAAACAUAAAAAUCAACAAGAGCAACCACAUGAUAUCCACAUGCAAAUUGCUAAAUAACACCCAGCUAGGAAUAAAGGAGAGCAAAUAACAAAAGAAUAAUGGAGAUAAAUGAGUAGCAUACCUGGAAAAUGCUCUUUCGAGGUUCUAUCCUCUAAACUAUCAGAAGAAAACCUUAUCUACUCCUCCGUAGGUAUAGUAUCCGCUUCCCCCUCAACGAAACUUGCUCCUCAAGCUCUCUCCCUCUCUCUCUCAAGUCGCUCUCUGUUUUUUUCCUCACUCCCUGAAAAGAUACAAUGCUUCAGAAAACUCUCUCAAAAGCUCUUGGAGUCCUCCCCUUCUCAUUGUUCUUCCAAAAACCAACCAAAAGCCCUCUUGAAAAGAUCUUACUCUCCUCUCAAUAACUCUCAAGAAUGGCUGCCCAAAAGCACCUCCUCUAGCUCCCUCUCCUAGCUCCCGAAAACUCCCCCCUCCUAAUCACAGCCCAGCCUCCUCAAAAAGCCAUCUGCUCUCUGCCAACCUCGUCUUUUCUUUCUCUACCAGAUUUGCCCCUCUAACAAUAUCUCCAGAAACAACUACCUCCAAGCACCACUACUCUCCAGCCUCCCAUUUCUCUCUCAUACGCGUCUCAUAACGGCUGCAGAAUCCCCUUCCAGCAUAACGGCUUGUCGCUUCCUUUUCAGAAUCUUCUUUAUAGAUGUCGUAUCCUCAUUGGUCCUCCAAGCUACUAGCCUGGUUCCCUAGCAGCCAUCCACGAGUGGACAAGCGGUUCAUUGAGGGGCCUCCAUUUGGUAAGAAAGUGACCUACAGAAACGCUAAAAAGUGAGGCCCCAAAAUGGGGGUCUACAGUAAGGCAAUAAUUUCCAAAAUUCUCUUUAAUUAAUUAAAAAAAAAAUCAUUAGAAUUGAUGAUUUUUUAUCUUGACUUUACUAUACGACAAGAGUUUAAACAUUUCUAAUUCAAAUUUGAUGAUUUAAACAUUGUUAUUUCCAUUUUCAAUGAAGGAUUGAAUUAAUAUAAUUUAUGGAAUUUUAGUUUGUUAAGAAUCGGAUAGAUCAUGAGGGAAAAAUAAUGAGGUAUUGUAGACCCCCCUUUAGAGUGAUUUUAUUUUAUGAUUUUUCUUCUUCUGACCACCUGGGGAUUGAGGCUGAUGGGGGCGGUGAGAUUAGACGGAAUGCAGCGGAUAGCAGUGGAGCCGAGGAUGGCUUGCUGAGGAAGACACAAACAGAGGAAAAGAAAAAGAGAUAUCUGGGGGCUUUUCGGGAGAUGGUAAAGGGAGACAUACCGAGGAAACGAGCAGGAAAGUGGAAUAACUCAGGUAUGGAUUCUGAAAACCGGAUUCAUUAAUUAAUUAAUUUAUUUGUUUGUUUUUGAUGCCAUGUUAUGAUAGUUUCUAUGCAUGAGGAUUUUCAUUUUUGAUGUCUGAACAUGCAUAUUGUGGAUCCUUGUAAUUUAUUUAUUUUUUCUGGAAUCUGAGCUUACUUUCACCCACUCUGUGCUUGAUUCUUAAUUUCUCUUCUGAGCUCAUUGAUUGAUAUAUGGAGCGAGGCUGGUACGGGUCCAUUUUUCUCCUAUUAUUUGUGCUCUGUUUCGCUGUUUUCCCCUGUUCUUGAAAUGGGUAUUGGGGCCUGGAAACGCGGAAAUCUUAGAUAUUGUUCAUGUCAGCAAAGAGGGUGCAUUUCCCAUGCUCUCGACUUAUCAGAGAAGGAGUUUGUCCGAAGCAUUAUAUUGCCAUGGCGAGGGUGUUUACGCUGUUUCUCUUGGCUCUUCUUGCCAUUUCCAUGCUUCACACCAUUGUAUUAGCUUCGCAUGGCCAUGGCAGUCACCACUACGACCAAAAGAACUAUGGUCCGGGGAGUCUGAAGAGCUUCCAAUGCCCGUCACAGUGCUCGAAGAGGUGCAGCAAGACACAGCACUACAAACCUUGCACGUUCUUCUGUUAGAAGUGCUACCAAAAAAAGUGCCUGUGCAUUCCCCAGGGUAUUAUAGUAAUAAAGUCGUUUUCCCAGGCUACAACAAUUGAAGGCCAAGGAAGGAGGACCAAAAUGCCCCUGGUUGUUACCUUAUUUACCCUUCUCACCCAUUUUAAGUUGGCCCAUUUGCUUGCUUUAAUUUUUAAGUAAUUUUCAUGUUUCCAGCUUAAGUAAUUUAAUUUUUAAAGCCCUAAUUUCUUGGUAAAUCUUCUAAAUCCCAAUUUCUAAAUCCUAUUUUCAAAACUUACAUCUUCAAGCAAUCCUUCAAAAAUCCCAUGUCUUAAUUUAAUUUUUCAAUCCUAAAAACUAUAGAAUUCGUUUAAAUCUUAUUUUCAUCAAUUAGAAUUAUAAUCCCGUAUCUAUUUAGUUAUUUAAAGUUUAAUCCUUCAAAAAUUCCAUGUUUUAAUUUAAUCUUUUAAAUCCUAAAAACUCUACAAUUCAACUAAAUCUUAUUUUCAUUAAUUGGAAUUAUAUAAUUAUUUAAAGUCUAAUAUUUCAAAAAUUCCAUGUUUUAAUUUAAAUUUUCAAUCCUAGAAAUUCUACAAUUCGUUUAAAUUUCAUUUUCAUCAAUUAGAAUCAUCAUCCCAUAUUUAUUUAAAGUCCAAUCUUUCAAAAAUCUCAAUUUAACUUUCAACCUUAGAAAUUCUAUCAUUCGCCUAAAUGUUAUUUUCGUUAACUAGUAUUCUUAUCUCCUAUCUUUUUAUUCAUUUAAGGUCCAACUCUUCAAAAAUUCAACGUCCUAAUUUAAUUUUCAAUCUUAAAAUUCCACUACUCCUUUUCUAUUCGUUUAAAAUAUUGUUUCCGUUAAGUAGCAUUAUUAUUCCAUAUUAUCUAUUUAUUCUAAUCGUUAAAAUUUAAUUCAUCAGAAUCCGACUUCCAAAUCUAAUUCUCAAUCUCAAAAACUCCACCGUCCAUAUAUCACUGUUUAAUGAUUAUUUUCGUUAUUAUUAUUAUCCUAUUCAUUUAUUUAUUUACUUAUUCAUAUAUUUAAAAUCUCAUCUCCAAAUAAUUUCUCAAAAUUUCAAUCUCUAAAUUCAAAUCUCCAAUCUCUAAAAUUCUAUUUUUCGCAAUUAUUUACCUAAUCUUUAUAAUUUCACCAUUAUUAUUAUUCCAUUCAUUUAUUUAUUCACUCAUUCAUUUAUUAAAAUUUUGUCUUUAAAUAAUUCUUCAAAAUCCCGAUUCCCAAAUUUAGUUCUCCGAAAUUCCAAUUCCUUUCAAAUUUAAUUUCUAAAAUUCUCAUUCUUGUAUUUAAUUUCAAAAUUCCAAUUUUCAAAUAAACUUUAAAACUCCAAUUUUCUAGUGAUCUUCGAGAUUCUAAUUUUUCAAUUAAAUUUCAAAAAUCUAAUUUUCUCUCAAAUAGCUUUAAUUCCGCUCUGGUUUUCAAAUGAUCUUCUGCUCCUCUUGGUUUUACAUAAGCAAGAAUAAUGAAUUUUCAUAAUUCCAAAAUAAUGGAAUUUGUGAGAUCAAUUCAUGCAAGAUCAAUCGGGCUUUGGUGGGGGCCCAACAUACGUGAUUUCCUUAUGAUUGAUUGAUUGUUUGUUUGAUUUAAUUGCCAUACAUGAUCGAUUUUAUUCUGCUCUAUGACAUGCUCGAAAUUAUUCCUUAAUUGUGCGCUAACCUCACUUCUUGAUAGCGCUUUAUGGAUCACUGCCCAAGUAUGCAUCCACACUCGCUCGGGUCAUUUUCUGUAUGCAUGUUUAGAUUCUCACAUGUGCAUGAUCACUUUGAGUAUUCAUUGAUUCCCUCAUCAAUUGUCAUGAUUGCUUCAUUUUAUUAGUAGAGACCCGACUUUAGAGACUUAAAGGGGUGCUACGGUCUUUACCGUACCUUCCCGAUAAGUAACCUGACCCCCGAACCCGAUCCGGUUUUUCACAGACCGCCUUUUCCAAAAUAAGGAGUCACACUUAGGGUUUUUCUUUCUUAUUUUGUUUACCCUUUCAAAAAUAAAACAAAAAUAAGUGGCGACUCCAAGUCAGUUUUUUUUUAAUCAAAUAAAAAAAUCAAUUUUUCAAAUAAAAAUCGAGCUCGCCAUCGAGUGGGAAACGCAUGAGCUCGAAAUGCGGGGUCCACAGGUAUGCAAUAGAAGAAUUAUGGUUUCAAUUUUGAAAUUUUUUGGAUUGAUUUUAGAUUAAUUUCUUAUUCAAAUUAAAUUAUUUGUAUAUUGUCUUGUUUUAUUUUUAAGUAAUAAUCCAUCAAAAAUAAAUAAAUAUCUAAAUUUUCUUAAGAAAUUGAAAAAAAAAAUGAAAAGAGAACCUAUUUGAAUCAUAUGAUUCAUAUUAUUUUUUCUUAAUAACAUAUUUACUAAUUUACAUAAAGUUGUCCAUAAUUUUCAAAAAUAGAUUUAAUCUUGUUAUAAGUAAUCAACAACUAUCUUUUUGUCAAAAACAAUUACCAAAUAUGGUUCUAAGUUUGAAAAUUUGUUUUCAAAAACAAUCCUCAAGCAAAUUCUUAGGUCCAUUUGGCUAUGUUUUUUAAAACUUGUUUUUAAAAUAGCAAACAAAAACAGUUUUUUUUUUUUAAUUUUUAAAAAGCAAGAGCAUUUGGCAAAUGCAUUUCAUAAAAAACUUGUUUGAAUGAAAGAAUUUGUAUUGUUUUUAAAGACAAUGUCUUACUUUUAUUGUAUAAGAAUUUUAUAAAUUUAGUUUAUAUUAAUGUAAAAUCAAAUUCAAGUUACGUUUCAUUUAAAAAAAAUAAAAAAUAAAUUUACAACUAUAUAUAAGUUAAAGAUAAAUAAUUUUUUUUAAUUAUGAAAUAAUUUUUUUAUUCUAGUGAAACAAAAAUUACUAUUUUAGUAUUUAUUUUUAAUACAAAUCAAAUAUGUCCUUUAAUUUUAUUUUUUUUCCAUUUGGCCAUGAUUUUUUAAAAAUUGUUUUUUAAGUUAAAGAACAUAAAACAAUUUUUUAAUGUUUUAUAAAAUAAGGUAUUUGUCAAGUUGUUUAUAAAAAAAAUGCUUUAAAAAUAAAAAUAAAACCAAUUUGUUUGGAUAAGUUGUUUUUAAAAAUAAAUUUUCUAUUUUGAUUUUAUAAAAAUAUUAUAAAUUCAAUUUAUAUAACAUUAAUUAAAUUUAAUUGAAGUCUUAUUGAAAAUAAAAAUAAUUUUGUAUUACAAAGAAAUUCAAAAGAAAUAUUUUUUAGUAAAACAUGAAUAGUAUAUAUUAUAAUAAAAUCAUCAAUUAUAUUUUUAAUAAAAAAUAUACUAUUUUAUUAUAUGUUAGAAACAUAAGAAUAUUAACAUAUUUUUGUAAAAAAAAAUGUGCCGUAAAAAUAAAUAAUAAUAAUUUAAAAAUAAUAAUUGUCAAUAGUAUUUUAUUUAAAAUGAAUAAUGAAUAAAGUUUAACUUUUUAACAUGUGAGUCAAGUUUUAUUACAUGCAUACAUUUAGUACUCAAUUUCUACAAUUAAUUGGAUCAAUUUUUUUAUUGCAAAUUAUUCUUAAAAGUUAAAGGAUUUGUUAAAAAAAUUAAAUUAUUAAUUAUGUUUUACUUAAUUUAUAAUUUAUUUACCUAGGAAAAAAAAAUUUUAAAUAGUUGUAUGUAUAGAAGAAAUAUUAAAGUCAUGACUCAUUAUACAUCAAUUUUAUUCUUCCUUUUUUUUUUUUUUUGCUUUGAUGACUAAAUGAUCUAUUUUUGAGUUCCAAACUAAGCACCUGUAAUCGCAGCUCCCGCUCCUUGGAUUUGCGUUCUCAGAUUGGAGAUGCACCAGUCAAAACACACCGCGAACAGACACCAAAACAGAGAAAAAAUAGAGAGGAAAAUUGAUAGAACCAAACAAAGAUGGGUGAGAUGGGAGUUGGUUAAGCAAGACCUGGUCUCAUAAUUCAUCCACAGGCUUACCAACUAGUGGGGGAAGAAAUGGAUUUAAAGAGAAAUGAUAAGAAGAAGACCUUGAGAUACCACGCGGACAAAACUGGUCCAGAUUCACAUCAUUUCUCUCAAAAUGAACCCAGAAAAAAAUAUAUGAACAUGUAGUCAUAGCGAAUCCAAUGAAAACAUAGAAAUCAACAAGAGCAACCACAUGAUAUCCACACGCAAACUGCUAAAUAACACCCAGCUAGGAACAGAGGGGAGCGAAUAACAGAAGAAUAAUGGAGAUAAAUGAGUAGCAUACCUGGAAAAUGCUCUUUCGAGGUUCUAUCCUCUAAACUAGCAGAAGAAAACCUUAUCUACUCCUCCGUAGGUACAGCACCCCCUCAACGAAACUUGCCUCUCAAGCUCUCUCCCUCUCUCUCUCAAGUCGCUCUCUGUUGUUUUCCUCACUCCCUGAAAAGAUACAAUGCUUCAGAAAACUCUCUCAAAAGCUCUUGGAGUCCUCCCCCCCCCUCCCCCUUCUCACUGUUCUUCCAAAAACCAACCAAAAGCCCUCUUGAAAAGAUCUUACUCUCCUCUCAAUAACUCUCCAGAAUGGCCGCCCAAAAGCACCUCCUCUAGCUCCCUCUCCUAGCUCCCGAAAACUCCCCCCUCCUAAUCACAGCCCAGCCUCCCCAAAAAGCCAUCUGCUCUCUGCCAACCUCGUCUUUUCUUUCUCUACCAGAUUUGCCCCUCUAACAAUAUCUCCAGAAACAGCUACCUCCAAGCACCACUACUCUGCAGCCUCCCCUUUCUCUCUCAUACGCGUCUCAUAACGGCCUGCAGAAUCCCCUUCCAGCAUAACGGCUUGUAGCUUCCUUUUCAGAAUCUUCUUUACAGAUGUCGUAUCCUCAUUGGUCCUCCAAGCUACUAGCCUGAUUCCCUAGCAGCCAUCCACGAGUCGACAAGUGGCUCAUUAAGGGGCCUCCAUCUGGUAAGAAAGUGACCUACAGAAACGCUAAAAAGUGAGGGCCCAAAAUGGGGGUCCACAGUAAGGCAAUAAUUUCCAAAAUUCUCUUUAAUUAAUUAAAAAAAAAAUCAUUAGAAUUGAUGAUUUUUUAUCUUCACUUUACUAUACGACAAGAGUUUAAACAUUUCUAAUUCAAAUUUGAUGAUUUAAACAUUGUUAUUUCCAUUUUCAAUGAAGGAUUGAAUUAAUAUAAUUUAUGGAAUUUUAGUUUGUUAAGAACCGGAUAGAUUAUGAGGGAAAAAUAAUGAGGUAUGCAAUAGAAGAAUUAUGGUUUCAUUUUUGAAAUUUUUUGGAUUGAUUUUAGAUUAAUUUCUUAUUCAAAUUAAAUUAUUUGUAUAUUGUCUUGUUUUAUUCUUAAGUAAUAAUCCAUCAAAAAUAAAUAAAUAUCUAAAUUUUCUUAAGAAAUUGAAAAAAAAAAAAAACAUGAAAAGAGAACCUAUUUGAAUCAUAUGAUUCAUAUUAUUUUUUCUUAAUAACAUAUUUACUAAUUUACAUAAAGUUGUCCAUAAUUUUCAAAAAUAGAUUUAAUUUUGUUAUAAGUUAUCAACAACUAUCUUUUUGUCAAAAACAAUUACCAAAUAUGGUUCUAAGUUUGAAAAUUUGUUUUCAAAAACAACCCUCAAGCAAAUUCUUAGGUCCAUUUGGCUAUGUUUUUUAAAACUUGUUUGAAUGAAAGAAUUUGUAUUAUUUUUAAAGACAAUGUCUUACUUUUAUUGUAUAAGAAUUUUAUAAAUUUAGUUUAUAUUAAUGUAAAAUCAAAUUCAAGUUAAGUUUCAUUUAAAAAAAAUAAAAAUUAAAUUUACAACUAUAUAUAAGUUAAAGAUAAAUAAUUUUUUUUAAUUAUGAAAUAAUUUUUUUAUUCUAGUGAAACAAAAAUUACUAUUUUAGUAUUUAUUUUUAAUACAAAUCAAAUAUGUCCUUUAAUUUUAUUUUUUUUCCAUUUGGCCAUGAUUUUUUAAAAAUUGUUUUUUAAGUUAAAGAACAUAAAACAAUUUUUUAAUGUUUUAUAAAAUAAGGUAUUUGUCAAGUUGUUUAUAAAAAAAAUACUUUAAAAAUAAAAAUAAAACCAAUUUGUUUGGAUAAGUUGUUUUUAAAAAUAAAUUUUCUAUUUUGAUUUUAUAAAAAUAUUAUAAAUUCAAUUUAUAUAACAUUAAUUAAAUUUAAUUGAAGUCUUAUCGAAAAUAAAAUUAAUUUUGUAUUACAAAGAAAUUCAAAAGAAAUAUUUUUUAGUAAAACAUGAAUAGCAUAUAUUAUAAUAAAAUCAUCAAUUAUAUUUUUAAUAAAAAAUAUACUAUUUUAUUAUAUGUUAGAAACAUAAGAAUAUUAACAUAUUUUUGUAAAAAAAAAAAAAUUUUUGCUGUAAAAAUAAAUAAUAAUAAUUUAAAAAUAAUAAUUGUCAAUAGUAUUUUAUUUAAAAUGAAUAAUGAAUAAAGUUUAACUUUUUAACAUGUAAAUGAGUCAAGUUUUAUUACAUGCAUACAUUUAGUACUCAAUUUCUACAAUUAAUUGGAUCAAAUUUUUUUAUUGCAAAUUAUUCUUAAAAGUUAAAGGAUUUGUUAAAAAAAUUAAAUUAUUAAUUAUGUUUUACUUAAUUUAUAAUUUAUUUACCUAGUAAAAAUUUUUUUUAAAUAGUUGUACGUAUAGAAGAAAUAUUAAAGUCAUGACUCAUUAUACAUCAAUUUUAUUCUUUUUUUUUUUUUUUGCUUUGAUGACUAAAUGAUCUAUUUUUGAGUUCCAAAUUAUUUUUAAAAAAAAUUAAAUUCAAUAAAAACUAUCACUUGAUUUGAAGUUUAUUUUUCUAGUGGAAAAAUUUAUAAAAAUAUAGUUAUGUGUAGAAAAGAAAUAAUAGAGUCAUUAUAAACUAAUUUUUAUCCAUGAAAUUAUGGUAUUAAUAAAGUAUUGUUAAUAAAUCCAACCUAUUAAAUUUUAUUUAAUUUUAAGUUCAUUUACUUAGUGAAAAAAAAAAAAUCAUAACAUAAUGAUUCUAUAUAGAAGAGAAAUAUUAAAGUUGUCUUAAAUUAAUUUUUAUUCAUAAUAGAAGAGAAAUAUUAGAGUUCUUAUAAAUUAAUUUUUAUUCAUAACAUUCUAAUAUUAAUUGGGUCACUAUUUAAGUUUUAAAUUAUUUUUAAAAUUUUCUAAAUUCAUUAAUGAAUUUAACACAUUAAGUGUUGUUUAAUUUGGAAUUCAUUUAUCUAAUGAAAAAAAUCAAAAAUAAUAAUUCUAUAUAAAAGAAAAAUAAUAGUUAUUUUAAACUCAUUUUAUUGGUAAAUUUUUUAUAUUAAUUGAAUCAGUAUUUAAGUUUUAAGUUGUUAUAUAUAGUUACUAUCUAUUUCACUUUAUUUUUAAAAAAUUAAAAAUAGAAAAACAAUAUCAAUGUUAUGAAUUUUUAAAAAUUAUUUUCUAUUUUUAAAUCACUCGUCAGAUGGGCUCUUAUUUUCUUAUAAAUUACCAUAUUGAAUUUUUGGGGCUUGACAUGGUAACUAGAAGAAGCCAACCAAAAUUAAAUUUGCAACCCCUCCUAAAAUAUUAAUCCAACAAUACUCAAAAAUCAUUUUUGGUCAGCUCUCCCUCUUUUAUGAGCUUGAAGCCUUCCACAACAUCAUUUCUCUCAAACUAGCCAUUGGGGAAGACCGUGAUAACUCUCUCUCUUCCCUCUCCCGCCCAACCCCUCCCCUCCUUCCACCUUCUUUCAAAACCCUAAGCCCUCCCCGCCAAAACAUUAUCCCCAACCCGCAUUCUCACAAAAACCCCAACUUCGAGCCCCUCAAGAACCGUCAGAUCCGCCAACUCGACGUGGGCCACCUCAACCAUGCACUCUCCUCCCUUGAUCUCAUGACCCUGCAAAACGCCCCACCAGACCUCACCACCUACUCCAUCCUCCUCAAGUCCUGCAUCCGAUUCCGCAACUUCCAACUCCGGAAACUCGUCCACCGGAAGCUAAUUCAGUCUGGACUUGAGCUCGACUCGGUUGUGUUGAACACUCUGAUCAGCUUGUACUCCAAAUGUGGCGACACCGCAACCGCUAGGUUGAUUUUUGAGGGAAUGGAAAAUAAGAGACUUGGUUUCAUGGAGUGCGAUGGUCUCAUGUUUUGCGAUUAACAGCAUGGAGUUGCAAGCAAUUUGGACAUUUUUUUUAUUUUCUCGAAUUGGGUUUUUACCCAAAUGAGUAUUGCUUUGUGGUCAUGAUUCGGGCUUGUUCAAUGAGUUGGGGAGAUAAUUUAUGGGUUUGUGGUGAAAACCGGGUAUUUUGAGGCUGAUGUGUGUGUUGGGUGUGAAUUGAUUGAUGUGUUCGUGAAGGGUAGUGGUGACUUGGGCUCAGGUUAUAAGGUGUUCGAGAAAAUGCCAGAGAGAAAUUUGGGUACUUGGACUUUGAUGAUAACUAGAUUUGCGCAAUUUGGUUGUGCCAGAGAUGCGAUUGAAUUGUUUUUGGAUAUGGAAUUGAGUGGUCAUGCACUGGAUCGGUUUACAUAUGGUAGUGUCCUUUCUGCUAGUACAGUGUCAGGAUUGUUAGCACUAGGGAAGCAAUUGCAUUCCCAAGUUAUACGUUUGGGAUUGGCUUCAGAUGUUUGUGUUGGUUGUAGCUUGGUGGACAUGUAUGCAAAGUGUACAGCAGAUGGGUCCGUGGAUGAUUUGAGGAAGGUAUUUGAUCGGAUGCCUGAGCAUAAUGUUAUGUCUUGGACCGCAAUUAUCACAGCAUAUGUGCAAAUUGGAGAGUGUGAUAAGGAAGCUAUUGAACUUUUCUGCAAGAUGAUAUCUGGCCGUGUACAGCCUAAUCAUUUCUCAUUUUCAAGUGUUCUCAAGGCAUGUGGAAACCUUUCUGAUCCUUAUAAACAUGCUUUAAGGGAAAUGGAGAAAUUUAUUAGAUAAUUCAAGGUGAAUACAGAAGACUACCCUCGGUCCAAGGGUGCCAAGGAACUGCCUCUGGCUAAAACAUUACCUUGGUACAUAUAUGGAUCUUACAGAAGCACUAACCCUUGCAUCUAAACCAAUCAACCACAAAGUAUUACAGGACAGAGAAUGAGAGUAGCUAUUGCGAGGCACUACCUUCCCUCCAAGCUGAUCGUCAUUGUCGCAUUUCGUGAAGAAAUUGGUACCCCAACUGGAUUGUUCAUAUGAUCCUCAACUGACAUCUCCCUGGAGUAUAGAGUAGGCCUGGGGGGCAUUUGCAGGAGUUCAACUUCACCUUCUAGCAUCUCCAAUGCCUUGCUCAUUGAAGGACGAUCCGUGGGAUUCAUCUGUACACACCAUAAUGCAACUAUGACUAUCUUCCGUAUAUACUUGUGUUCGUCCUCAGUGGCAUCUCCAAUUUCCAUGUCUUCUCCUUGAUCUAUUCGAUCAUAAAUCCAUGACGGGAAGUAUGUUUGGCUUUGCUCUAGACAUGUAUUUGCAUGCUUCCUUUUUUCCCACCAUUUCCAUUAAUAACAUUCCAAAACUAUACACAUCAGCUUUAUAUGAAACACCUCCAAUGUUCUUGUAGAAUAAUUCUGGAGCAAUAUAUCCUAAUGUUCCUCGAGCAGUAGUUAGAGACACAAUGCUUUCUUCUAUUGAAUGUAAUUUUGCAAGGCCAAAAUCAGAAACUUUGGGGAUAAAGUUUGCAUCAAGAAGAAUGUUGUGCGGCUUGAUAUCAAAAUGCAGAAUUUGCAUGUCACAACCUUGAUGUAAGUAUUCAAUCCCACAACCCACACCUAGUGCAAUCUUAUAUAAUCUUUCCCAACUCAGAAGAAUGUUGUUUUCAAGUUUAGAAAAAAGAAACUUAUCAAGGGACCCAUUAGGCAUAUAUUCAUAUACCAGAGCCCAUUUUAAUCCCUCUGCACAAAAUCCACAGUCGCACUAACAUUAACAUGGUGAAUCCUUCCAAUUGUGGCUACUNNNNNNNNNNNNNNNNNNNNNNNNNNNNNNNNNNNNNNNNNNNNNNNNNNNNNNNNNNNNNNNNNNNNNNNNNNNNNNNNNNNNNNNNNNNNNNNNNNNNAAGGGAAAUGGAGAAAUUUAUUAGAUAAUUCAAGGUGAAUACAGAAGACUACCCUCGGUCCAAGGGUGCCAAGGAACUGCCUCUGGCUAAAACAUUACCUUGGUACAUAUAUGGAUCUUACAGAAGCACUAACCCUUGCAUCUAAACCAAUCAACCACAAAGUAUUACAGGACAGAGAAUGAGAGUAGCUAUUGCGAGGCACUACCUUCCCUCCAAGCUGAUCAUCAUUGUCGCAUUUCGUGAAGAAAUUGGUACCCCAACUGGAUUGUUCAUAUGAUCCUCAACUGACAUCUCCCUGGAGUAUAGAGUAGGCCUGGGGGGCAUUUGCAGGAGUUCAACUUCACCUUCUAGCAUCUCCAAUGCCUUGCUCAUUGAAGGACGAUCCGUGGGAUUCAUCUGUACACACCAUAAUGCAACUAUGACUAUCUUUCUUAUAUACUUGUGUUCGUCCUCAGUGGCAUCUCCAAUUUCCAUGUCUUCUCCUUGAUCUAUUCGAUCAUAAAUCCAUGACGGGAAGUAUGUUUGGCUUUGCUCUAGACAUGUAUUUGCAUGCUUCCUUUUUCCCACCAUUUCCAUUAAUAACAUUCCAAAACUAUACACAUCAGCUUUAUAUGAAACACCUCCAAUGUUCUUGUAGAAUAACUCUGGAGCAAUAUAUCCUAAUGUUCCUCAAGCAGCAGUUAGAGACACAAUGCUUUCUUCUAUUGAAUGUAAUUUUGCAAGGCCAAAAUCAGAAACUUUUGGGAGAAAGUUUGCAUCAAGAAGAAUGUUGUGUGGCUUGAUAUCAAAAUGCAGAAUUUGCAUGUCACAACCUUGAUGUAAGCAAUGAUGAAAAUAUCGGUAAUCACGGAUAUAUCGGUAACUUGAUUUUACGGAUAUAUCGGAGAAAUAUCGACGGAUAUUUUGGAAAAAAAAUUUUGAUAGGUAAAAAAUUGAUUAAAAUUCAUAAAAAUGUAAAAAAAACCUCAUAACAAUAUAAUUAGAAGUAUAAUAGAUAAUUUAAAUUUAUUUUGUUGAAUAAUUUGAUAUAUAUAUUAUAUGAUUUGCGAUAUUAUAUGUAAUUAUAUUAUGUGGGUUAAUAAAAAAUAUGAAUUUUGUAAUUACGCAUUCAUUAUCAAGUUUCAUACAAAAUUUGAUUUUAUUAAAUAUAAAUAAUUUAUAUAUAUUAACUUGAUUUCAUUAAAUACCAAUAAUUUGUAUAUAUUAUCACAUAGAUGUUGGGGCUCACUUUGGAUCGUUCGAUCACAUUUUGGACCAUCACCAUCGAGUCAUGAUUUGUUUCCAUUUUUUUUUUUUUAUCUCUACUAAAUUUUUAAAAAAUCAAAAGGCCACCCAUCCGAAAAGCCUUUUGCUGAAGACCCGCUUCUCUCACUCAGGCAUCAAAAAGCCCUUGACUGAAGCUGCCCUCCGGACGAGAGAAUCGGCCCCAAUUUGCUCUUUCACUCUCAAUCCUCGCAGGUUCUAAUUGAAUCAUUUAUUACCUUUUUUUUUUUGCAACCCCUGUUUGAUUCCCAAGAAAAUCCAUCCCCCAUUCAAUUUCCGGGAAAAUCCAUCCCCCAUUCGAUUUCCGGGAAAAUUCAUCCUCGUUUGAUUUCCGAGAAAAUUCAUCCUCGUUUGAUUUCCGAGAAAAUCCGUGCAAAACCCUCAAGGAAAACCAAAAAAAUUGCUUUUUUUUUUUUCUCCCUGUGUUUUCUGAUCUGUUCUAGGGUCGCUUUGCUUUUGUGCCAUUGGAUUUAAAUUUCACGAACCCUAAAUCCGUGAUUUUUGAGCCAGGCUGAAAAACAACCUUUGCCUGCAAGUCAUGAUCAAAUUACUAGUCAAUUUCAUAAUCAUUUCAUAAUUAGAGUGAAAAAAUAUUUUUCUUUUCUAUUAUUAUUUAUGAAUGUGUAGUUAGCAAAUGUUGUAAUGAAUGGUUCAUGAUGAAUGGGAUUUUUGUACAAUAAACUAUUUUUUAGGCUCACUUUUGAAUUAAGGCCAUACUUAUCUUUUAACAUAAGUCUUAAAAUGUAAUAAAAUAUUUAAUAAAAUUACGUUCUAUUUAGGCUUAAGUCAAAUUAUAAUUUAUUUAGUUUUAAGAUAAAUUAAACAAAUCUCAUUCAAAAAUUUAAGGCUUACAACAUCAAUUUUCCUUUUUUUUCCACUAAUUUUCCUAUUCAGUAAUGAGAUGCUCUAAAGAGCUUAUUGUUUUCUUAUUAUUAAGAGAAAAAUCAUUAAAAAAAGAAAACUAAUCAUACAAUUUACGAGGAAAUUAAUAAAAAUUAAAAUUAGAAUUUGGACAACCUUACAUUAAUUAACUAAAGGCAUCCUUUUCCAAAUUGGGAAAUGCAAGGAAUACCAAGAUUGGUUCACUAUUAAAAGCAAAUUCCAUGAAGGUAACUAGAAUGCUAAUUGAAACUCACAAAAAUAGAAUAAUUUAAAGUCACUUUAUCUAAAUUACUCUAAAGGUAGGCAUGAAGAGAAAGAUAUACAAUUACAAACAAAAAAGUGAUCUCUCAUGAGUCCAAGUUACAAUCCCUUGCCUAAAAAAUGAUACAUGCAUCAAUUUCUUUCCUCAUGGGGCCUUAGGGACAUAGGAGACUGAACUAGUCAAGUUUGAGAGGCUAAAUGCCAACUGACAGUCAUUGUCAUAAUUAGUAUCCAAAAAAUAUGAUAAGAUUCAUAACACAAUGACUGAGAUAUUCCAUGGAGAUGACAACAUGUUGCUAAAAGAAUUGAUUGGUACCUAAUAUUCCAUGGAAAAAGUUGUAUAAAUAAGAUAGAACCCGUUAAACUAGCUUGGAGGUUUAGAAAUUCAUAAAAAUUAGUUAUAUUAUGAACUAGCUUGGUGGCUUUAAUGUCAAUCAAGCAAGACAAAUCCAAAAAUUCAAUUAAUUUAUCCUCUUCCUAAAAUUCAUAAUUGAGAGGUUCAUGGGUUCUUCCUUUUAUCUCAUCCAGCUCAUUGGAUAUUUCAGGAAGGCAAAGGAAUCAAGUCCCUCCAAGUGCAAGGACAAAUCUCCAUUUAGUACCAAGAAAAUGAACUCAAUGAGUACCCCUAUAUACAAUGGGCCACACAAAUUGAAAAUAGACCCCAUAUACAAUAGACCACAUAAAGAAUAAAUCAUAGUGAUACAAUGGUCACACAUAUAUAAUGGACUAUAUAGUUGUAUGAACCACACAAAUUGAAAAUAGACCCUAUAUAUGAUGGACCACAUAAAGAAAGAAACAUAGUGAGAAAUUGGUCGCAUACAUACAAUGGACUAUAUGGUCCACGACCAUUAGUGAGAAAUAGUCGAUUAUAAAAAUUCAUAGACUUCUUGAAAUGAUGAUGCUUAUGGGGAUGAUUUAAAAAUUUUAAAGUCUUUUUUUUUAAAAAAAAAAAAAUAGACACAUAGCAAUAGGUUUCACAUGAUUCAACAAUGUAGUUAUAUCCAUCGUUGAGUUAGGAAACUUUUUAAUAACAAAUCCCAACUCCCAAAGAACUAAUGUAAGUGGUUUUCGAUAAGGAAAUAUGUACUUUCAACUAACACACUGAAGGUUUAUUUGCAAAUAUUUUUAAAAUUAGUUUUUAUUUUUUAAAACAAAAAUAAUUUUCCAACCUCAAAAAUACAUCUAACAGAUUUUAGAAUAAAAAUAUCAUGAAAACAGAGUGAUUGGAGGUUUUUUUUUUUUUUUUUUUUCAUUUUGCAUGGUAAAUUACAUUCACCUAUAACUAAUAAAGAAAACCAUAUUUUAGAAUUUCAAAUAGAAUUUUAUUCCUAAAAAUGAUAUAAAAUUGUUUUUACAAAUUGUUCUCAAAAAAUUAUUUUUCAAAUUUUUUUUUGAAAAUAUUAUCCACCAUGCCUCAAAUUUUCUUACGAGAACCUAAUCUUGCAAUUUCUUAGAUCUAAUUUGCAAGAUGCAAAAGAAUGCUGCGAGAUCUUCGCAAGUAACAAGGCAACAAAUGACAUGAGAACAAGUCCUCCUAGCUACCUUAAUAGUACUAAGCUUUUCCCAAGAAAGCAAGACAUAAUGACUAACGUUAUUUGCUUGAGGCUAGUUUUUUAAUAAGCUCCCUUAUAGUUGCUUACCUAACCUCAAAGCCUACUCUCUUUGGAGAACAAGAGUCUUCCACAUUUUUUAUUUUUUGAGAUCCAUCUGCAAACUUUAAUGGAAGAUCUCAAUUAGUGCAAGGAAAGAAACAAUUAAUAAAGGUGGAGCCUCAAAAGCAACCUAUUUUAUUAAACUAUAGCAUAAAUAACGAGAUUACAUUAUCACCAUUUAUUACAACAUGAUUAUUACCCAAAUUAAACACUCAUAAUAGACAACUUCUUAUUCUAUUUCUGAUAUGAUUGUCAACUCUGGUUGGAUAGAUGUUUUACGUCUUCUAACACUUGUCCUUGUUUGUCCCAUAGAGGUAAAAGGAUUAGGAGGCAUAACUAAAUUGCCUUCUUCUCCUUCCAACAUUCCAACCACAAUUUUCAUGGAAGGACGAUCUAUUGGAUACCAUUGGAUACACCAAAGCCCUAUGAUGCUUAGUUUCUUUGCUAUUUUAAUAUCACUUUCGUCCUCAAUUCGGAUGUGUACCUCUUGCUCUUGAUCCAAAUGAUUAUAGAGCCAUUCUGGGAAGUAUGCUUGACUAGUAUUUUCUACUGUAGCAUCAAUAUUCUUCCUUCCCCCUACCAUUUCAAUCAACAACAUACCAAAACUAUAAACAUCUGACUUAGAAGACACAUUCCCAAAAUUUCUUGAUAACAUUUCUGGUGCAAUAUAACCCAUGGUCCCUCUUGCUGCUGUCAUAGAUACUGCACUUUGCUCCUUAGAGCAUAAUUUGGCUAAACCAAAAUCAGAAAUCUUCGGAUUAAAGUUAUGAUCAAGCAAAAUAUUAUGAGGUUUGAUAUCCAAAUGAAGGAUUCUUUGAUCACAACCUUGGUGAAGAUACUCAAUACCUUUAGCUAUGCCAACAACAAUAUCUUGAAGUUUAUGCCAACCUAGAGAAUAAUUAUUGCCAAAUGCUGAAAAUAUGAACUUGUCUAGUGACUCAUUUGGUAAAAAUUCAUAAAUCAAAGCUCGCUUAUAUCCAUCUGCACAAAACCCGAGCAACCGAACCACGUUAACAUGAUGUAUGGUACUCAUUGUUCCUACUUCAUUAAUGAAAUCUUCCCCGUUUCCUUUGAAAUCAUCAAGGAUCUUUACUGCAACAAAAACUUCAUUUGAGAGCUUUCCUUUAUAAACAGUCCCAUAACCUCCUUGACCUAGUUUGUCCUUGAAAUUAUUUGUGAUCUUUUUAAUAUCAGCAUAGGAGUACCUUGAGGGCUUGAGAGCUCUAUAAUCUUCCAAAAACUUUUGAAUAUUUACUCUAUGCUCUCUUUUCAACUUAUUAGAGCGAUAGACAAUAAAUAUUAUAAAGAUUCCAAAAGUGAAAUGAAGGAAACCAAGGAUUGCUUCUGCACAUAGGGGAAAAAAAGUUUCUAUAAGUAAUUGAAACAAGAAAAAAAAAAAAAAAAAAAGACAAACUAAGAAUCAUCAUCAUGAUGUCACCCUCAUUAUUGAAAAGAAUAUGAAUAGGAAAUCACCUGUAAGCACCAUUUUAUCCAUUGGAGCACCUGUAAAAGAUAGUAAACUUAUUAGCUUUUUGUAUUCUUUUAAUUAGUAAAAUCAUAAUAGAUUGCAUGACGUUGUAACAUGAGUAUAGUUAUUUUUGGUGUAUUUGGAUUUCAACCUUGGCCUUUGCAGUCCUUUCUACAGGUUCGAUUGUUUUAGCUAAGCCUAAUUGUUGUAGCUAGCUUGUAAUGAAUAAAUAAUAUUGCAUGUUCAGAUCCAUUACUAUAGUAGUUAAUUUGGUUCACAUCCAUAAGGGUUCAAUCCAAUUUUAUGGUACAAACAGAGAAUACUAUAGAAAAUUUCAUGUGCAUAUUAACAUCAUAGUAGGAGAUAAGAAAGGGCUUGCAAGGUGAAAAUGAUGAAGAAGCGGGAUUUAGUACCUUUUGCUGGUUUAUCAAUGCAUUCGAUUUCAGGUUCCGUGCUAUUAUUCUUCUUCCGUUGGCACUUGUUUCCUUUUGCUUCACAGUUUCCGCACAUAGGUUUUGACCAAUUCAUAUAAAAUUCCCUUUCAUGAUCAAACAUAUAAUUAUCUGGGAGUGUAGCAUUGAAAAUCUUCUGGCAAGAGGAUAAGUUCACUUCAGCGAGAGAGUAAGAGGAAGGAGCGACAUAAACUGGGUUACUUGAGAGAAUACUGUAAGGGAUGGACCAAAGUUGAUUAUCAGCAUAUGAUAGCUGAUUUGUUAUAUCUUCAGAACAAUUGAUUUCAGGUUCCCUGCUAUUAUUCUUCUUCCGUUGGCACUUGUUUCCUUUUGCUUCACAGUUUCCGCACAUAGGUUUUAACCACUUCAUCCAAAAUUCCCCUUCAU
This 33345-nucleotide long non-coding RNA is filed under the name Vitis vinifera (wine grape). RNAcentral describes it as "long non-coding RNA (VVIN_LNC005561)". The record is from RNAcentral. Lineage: Eukaryota; Viridiplantae; Streptophyta; Magnoliopsida; Vitales; Vitaceae.